GUUUCUACUUCCGGACGUAGCAGGUGUUACAGGGCCACACAGGGUCGCCAGCCGCGGAGGAGGCCCCAUUCAGGGCCCGGACCUCUCCCAGUGCCGUCCGGAAUUCCCCAGCCACGCUCGCCCCGUGGGAUACUGCUGUGUUCCUCCCAAUUCGACCAUCAUUGACUUCAAACUCCCUACAGUCACCUCCCCCCUCCGCAUCCGCCGCCCUGCCCAUGCCGCUGACCCAGCCUACAUCGCCAAAUACACUGAGGCAAUCGCCCUCAUGAAGGCCCUCCCGGACGACGACCCUCGCAGCUUCAACAACCAGGCCAGGAUCCACUGUGCCUACUGCAACAACGGCCAUAGCCAGCUCGGAUUCCCCGGACUCGACCUCCAGAUCCACUACUCAUGGUUCUUCUUACCCUGGCAUCGUUUCUUCUUAUACUUCCACGAGCGCAUCCUCGGCAGCCUGAUUGGUGACCCCAACUUCGCCAUCCCCUUCUGGAACUGGGACUCACCCUUGGGCAUGUCCCUUCCUCACAUGUAUGCAGCCAACUCAUCCUCCCCUCUCUACAACCCUAACCGCGAUGCCACUCACCAGCCAUUCACCACCGGUGGCAUCGUGGACCUCAACUACAAAGGUGUAGACGAGUCUCCGUCAACCGCAGAAGAGCA
Molecule: unclassified non-coding RNA, 657 nt
Filed under: Hevea brasiliensis (rubber tree)
Lineage: Eukaryota; Viridiplantae; Streptophyta; Magnoliopsida; Malpighiales; Euphorbiaceae
Source: RNAcentral